Molecule: ribosomal RNA, 325 nt
Filed under: uncultured eukaryote
Lineage: Eukaryota
Description: partial 18S ribosomal RNA
Rfam family: Eukaryotic small subunit ribosomal RNA
Source: RNAcentral
CCCUUAGAUGUCCGGGGCCGCACGCGCGCUACACUGAAGGAAUCAGCGUGGCUUUCUCCCUGACCCGAAAGGGUUGGGAAACCCGUUGAAUCUCCUUCGUGAUAGGGAUUGGGGCUUGAAAUUGUUCCCCAUGAACGAGGAAUUCCCAGUAAGCGCGAGUCAUAAGCUCGCGUUGAUUACGUCCCUGCCCUUUGUACACACCGCCCGUCGCUCCUACCGAUUGAGCGAUCCGGUAAAUGUUUUGGAUUGGUGCCGGGGCGGCUAGCUGCCGGUCGCUACGAAAUUUUGUGAACCUUAUCGCUUAGAGGAAGGAAAAGUCGUAACA